CUACGGGAGGCUGCAGUGGGGAAUAUUGGACAAUGGGCGAAAGCCUGAUCCAGCCAUGCCGCGUGUGUGAAGAAGGCCUUCGGGUUGUAAAGCACUUUCAGUGGGGAAGAAAGCCUUGGGGCUAAUACCCUCGAGGAAGGACAUCACCCACAGAAGAAGCACCGGCUAACUCCGUGCCAGCAGCCGCGGUAAUACGGAGGGGGCGAGCGUUAAUCGGAAUUACUGGGCGUAAAGCGCGCGUAGGCGGUCUGAUAAGCCGGUUGUGAAAGCCCCGGGCUCAACCUGGGAACGGCAUCCGGAACUGUCAGGCUAGAGUGCAGGAGAGGAAGGUAGAAUUCCCGGUGUAGCGGUGAAAUGCGUAGAGAUCGGGAGGAAUACCAGUGGCGAAGGCGGCCUUCUGGACUGACACUGACGCUGAGGUGCGAAAGCGUGGGUAGCAAACAGGAUUAGAUACCCGAGUAGUC
Molecule: ribosomal RNA, 464 nt
Filed under: Vreelandella stevensii
Lineage: Bacteria; Pseudomonadati; Pseudomonadota; Gammaproteobacteria; Oceanospirillales; Halomonadaceae
Description: partial 16S ribosomal RNA
Rfam family: Bacterial small subunit ribosomal RNA
Source: RNAcentral